AGAUGGCGACCGGCGCACGGGUGAGUAACACGUAUCCAACCUGCCGAUAACUCGGGGAUAGCCUUUCGAAAGAAAGAUUAAUACCCGAUGGCAUAAUUAGACCGCAUGGUCUUAUUAUUAAAGAAUUUCGGUUAUCGAUGGGGAUGCGUUCCAUUAGGCAGUUGGUGAGGUAACGGCUCACCAAACCUUCGAUGGAUAAGGGUUCUGAGAGGAAGGUCCCCCACAUUGGAACUGAGACACGGUCCAA
This 247-nucleotide ribosomal RNA is filed under the name uncultured bacterium. RNAcentral describes it as "partial 16S ribosomal RNA". It matches the Rfam family "Bacterial small subunit ribosomal RNA", at positions 86 to 334 of the family's 1533-position model. The record is from RNAcentral.